This 501-nucleotide ribosomal RNA is filed under the name uncultured bacterium. RNAcentral describes it as "partial 16S ribosomal RNA". It matches the Rfam family "Bacterial small subunit ribosomal RNA", at positions 30 to 523 of the family's 1533-position model. The record is from RNAcentral.
AUUGAACGCUGGCGGCAGGCUUAACACAUGCAAGUCGAGCGGGGGAAGGUAGCUUGCUACUGGACCUAGCGGCGGACGGGUGAGUAAUGCUUAGGAAUCUGCCUAUUAGUGGGGGACAACAUCUCGAAAGGGAUGCUAAUACCGCAUACGUCCUACGGGAGAAAGCAGGGGAUCUUCGGACCUUGCGCUAAUAGAUGCGCCUAAGUCGGAUUAGCUAGUCGGUGGGGUAAAGGCCUACCAAGGCGACGAUCUGUAGCGGGUCUGAGAGGAUGAUCCGCCACACUGGGACUGAGACACGGCCCAGACUCCUACGGGAGGCAGCAGUGGGGAAUAUUGGACAAUGGGGGGAACCCUGAUCCAGCCAUGCCGCGUGUGUGAAGAAGGCCUUAUGGUUGUAAAGCACUUUAAGCGAGGAGGAGGCUACUUUAGUUAAUACCUAGAGAUAGUGGACGUUACUCGCAGAAUAAGCACCGGCUAACUCUGUGCCAGCCGCCGCCGUAA